ACAAUGGGCCUCUUUUCAUGGGGCUGCAGAACCAAGGUUCACAAGAACACAUUGUCUGAAUGUGCCAGCUUCGUUCCUGGUCAGCUGAAACCACUUGGAAAACUCAGAGCCCAGGACUCCCCUGCUCCAGCUCCAGAGACCAGCCGACUACUUCUCUAUCUGGGGCUCAUUUCAAGGCUGUAGAGCUGUGGGGGCAGCAAGUGCACCAGGCUGUCCUGCUUUCCCUUCCAGACUCACAGAAGCGUGGCUAUUAAAGCAAAAGAAGCACCUAGGUGGACUGGCCUGGGCACAGCCUGGCCUCCCACCGGCCGUCUCACUCUCGCUCGCCCCUUGCUCGUCAGAGGCCACUUCACACGUUCCCGGCACCUCGUGGGCUCCGCGGCAGGUCCUAGGGCUCGGGUGGCUCACCACACAUUCAACUCCUAGUAGGCACCGUCUGUGUCCGCCCUUCCUGCUCCCUGCCACGGUUUAUGAUUCUCUUUCCCCGAAAGAAGAGGGAAUUGAGGUGACAGCAGUGUCGCUUUCCCACCUGUUUCUUGCCGGAAAGAAUCGCUUUUUCUCUCCUUCCGAAAUACCUGUGCAAUGCCAAGAACGUGACUUUUCUGAGCUGUGUUUCUCCAAAGGAUAAAGGGCACAGAAAGAGUCAUUCAUUCUUCUUUCCAGAAACGUUUCGUGCACACCGUUCUGUAUGGUGUUUGGUGCUGGGAUGUGAGAUGAUGGAAGAUACCUGCCUGUGCUUGGAGUCCCCUGGCCAUUGGGUCCCCAGAGAGCCUCACUGCGUGACAGAGAAUGAUAAAUGCAGUGAGAGCUGCACUGUUAUAGAGUUCAGGGCAGAGCAGAGGUCACGUCCAGUGGAGACAACCAAAGCACACUCAGGGGAGCUGGCGGCAGUGGAGCUGGCUUUGAAGGCUGGAAAGGAUUCCCCAAGGAGGUGCAGAGGCUGGGGGCGUGACCUCUUCUCUCCUCUCUCAGGAAUUACUGUCCUGGCUGCCUAGUGCCUGAUGUCUCAAAACAGUAUUUUCUCCAUUCUUUUUUUCAGUUGUUUGAGGCUGGAGGAUAAAUCCAGCCCCUGUUACCCUAACCUUGGCUAGAAGACCCCCCGAAAUCUGUUUUCAUUGGUGAAACCUCUUCCCACUGGUGAUCCCAGUAUCCUGUUAUGGGUGUCUCCCAGUGACUUGGUUACUAGGUAUCCAGAGGUGAACUUGAAUUCUCGAAUCAGUCCUGUGAUGGAGCUAGCCACAGGCUGAGUCCGGAGACCACGUUCCAGUUCAGCUUCUGCUACUAAAUAGAUGACUUUGGCAUGUCACUUCGACCUACUGGCUGCCAUUUCCUUUGCUGUCAGAUGGCAGUAAGCUUACCUGCCUCACCUCACGGGAGUGGGGGCGUGAGGGUGAAAAGAGGAUGUGUGUAAAAUCCCUCUGUAAACUCGAAAGCCCCCACCAAUUGUGAGGUCUUUCUAUUAGCCGUUUCUACGGGCUCCCGUUUCUAUCACCCAAACAAAGCUGGCACUCGAGGAAUAGUUUGAUAGUAGCUUAAGCAACCUAUAAUCAUAAAUGGAAAUGAAAAGCAAUUACAAUGUAUUGGAAAACAUAUGUGUCAGAGACACAUGUAAAUUGUGCAAAUAGAUGUGGCAUUAAUCUUUCUAGGAUUACCUGUACCA
Long non-coding RNA from Rhinolophus ferrumequinum (greater horseshoe bat), 1660 nucleotides. RefSeq lists it as uncharacterized. The transcript is spliced from 4 exons. NCBI's taxonomy places the organism in Eukaryota, Metazoa, Chordata, Mammalia, Chiroptera, Rhinolophidae. The record is from RefSeq and is a predicted model, not a curated record.